GACGAACGCUGGCGGCGUGCCUAAUACAUGCAAGUCGAGCGAAGUUUUUCUGGUGCUUGCACUAGAAAAACUUAGCGGCGAACGGGUGAGUAACACGUAAAGAACCUGCCUCAUAGACUGGGACAACUAUUGGAAACGAUAGCUAAUACCGGAUAACAGCAUUAACUGCAUGGUUGAUGUUUGAAAGUUGGUUAUGCUAACACUAUGAGAUGGCUUUGCGGUGCAUUAGCUAGUUGGUGGGGUAAAGGCCCACCAAGGCGACGAUGCAUAGCCGACCUGAGAGGGUGAUCGGCCACACUGGGACUGAGACACGGCCCAGACUCCUACGGGAGGCAGCAGUAGGGAAUCUUCCGCAAUGGGCGAAAGCCUGACGGAGCAACGCCGCGUGAGUGAAGAAGGAUUUCGGUU
This 408-nucleotide ribosomal RNA is filed under the name Gemella morbillorum. Its description in RNAcentral is "bacterial SSU rRNA". It matches the Rfam family "Bacterial small subunit ribosomal RNA", at positions 28 to 423 of the family's 1533-position model. The record is from RNAcentral. Lineage: Bacteria; Bacillati; Bacillota; Bacilli; Caryophanales; Gemellaceae.